RNAcentral lists this ribosomal RNA (1342 nucleotides) under uncultured bacterium. RNAcentral describes it as "16S ribosomal RNA". It matches the Rfam family "Bacterial small subunit ribosomal RNA", at positions 28 to 1378 of the family's 1533-position model. The record is from RNAcentral.
GACGAACGCUGGCGGCGUGCUUAACACAUGCAAGUCGAACGGAAAGGCCCUGCUUUUGUGGGGUGCUCGAGUGGCGAACGGGUGAGUAACACGUGAGUAACCUGCCCUUGACUUUGGGAUAACUUCAGGAAACUGGGGCUAAUACCGGAUAGGAGCUCCUGCUGCAUGGUGGGGGUUGGAAAGUUUCGGCGGUUGGGGAUGGACUCGCGGCUUAUCAGCUUGUUGGUGGGGUAGUGGCUUACCAAGGCUUUGACGGGUAGCCGGCCUGAGAGGGUGACCGGCCACAUUGGGACUGAGAUACGGCCCAGACUCCUACGGGAGGCAGCAGUGGGGAAUAUUGCACAAUGGGCGGAAGCCUGAUGCAGCAACGCCGCGUGCGGGAUGACGGCCUUCGGGUUGUAAACCGCUUUCGCCUGUGACGAAGCGUGAGUGACGGUAAUGGGUAAAGAAGCACCGGCUAACUACGUGCCAGCAGCCGCGGUGAUACGUAGGGUGCGAGCGUUGUCCGGAUUUAUUGGGCAUAAAGGGCUCGUAGGUGGUUGAUCGCGUCGGAAGUGUAAUCUUGGGGCUUAACCCUGAGCGUGCUUUCGAUACGGGUUGACUUGAGGAAGGUAGGGGAGAAUGGAAUUCCUGGUGGAGCGGUGGAAUGCGCAGAUAUCAGGAGGAACACCAGUGGCGAAGGCGGUUCUCUGGGCCUUUCCUGACGCUGAGGAGCGAAAGCGUGGGGAGCGAACAGGCUUAGAUACCCUGGUAGUCCACGCUGUAAACGGUGGGUACUAGGUGUGGGGUCCAUUCCACGGGUUCCGUGCCGUAGCUAACGCUUUAAGUACCCCGCCUGGGGAGUACGGCCGCAAGGCUAAAACUCAAAGGAAUUGACGGGGCCCCGCACAAGCGGCGGAGCAUGCGGAUUAAUUCGAUGCAACGCGUAGAACCUUACCUGGGUUUGACAUGGAUCGGGAGUGCUCAGAGAUGGGUGUGCCUCUUUUGGGGUCGGUUCACAGGUGGUGCAUGGCUGUCGUCAGCUCGUGUCGUGAGAUGUUGGGUUAGUCCCGCAACGAGCGCAACCCUUGUUCACUGUUGCCAGCACGUUAUGGUGGGGACUCAGUGGAGACCGCCGGGGUCAACUCGGAGGAGGGUGGGGAUGACGUCAAGUCAUCAUGCCCCUUAUGUCCAGGGCUUCACGCAUGCUACAAUGGCUGGUACAGAGAGUGGCGAGCCUGUGAGGGUGAGCGAAUCUCGGAAAGCCGGUCUCAGUUCGGAUUGGGGUCUGCAACUCGACCUCAUGAAGUCGGAGUCGCUAGUAAUCGCAGAUCAGCAACGCUGCGGUGAAUACGUUCCCGGG